RNAcentral lists this non-coding RNA (32 nucleotides) under Geobacter sulfurreducens PCA. The record is from RNAcentral. Lineage: Bacteria; Pseudomonadati; Thermodesulfobacteriota; Desulfuromonadia; Geobacterales; Geobacteraceae.
UCGGCAGCGGUAAAUCCGUCAUGCGCCGCAAA